Molecule: long non-coding RNA, 622 nt
Filed under: Mus musculus (house mouse)
Lineage: Eukaryota; Metazoa; Chordata; Mammalia; Rodentia; Muridae
Description: predicted gene, 49014
Source: RNAcentral
AGGGAUGGGUCUGUGGCCUACAGAGGCAGGUGUUUCUCAGUUGGAGCACAGAGGAGUUCUUGGCACCAGCACUGGGCCAGCUGUGAGUUUAUCUGUGGUAUCUGGCUUUCAAAGUAGUGUUCCCUGCAGUCUGCCUAAAAGAAAGAGAUGAUCAAGAUGAACGAAGAGAAACUUGAAGAACAUAGAAAAACCAGAAGUUCUCCAAACUUGAAAGAGGCAGAAAUUGAAAAAGAGGAGGAAUGAAAAACCCAAAGACCGUAUUCAGGACUUCCAUGCAAGCAAAGGAUGUGCUACACAGACAGCAACUGAAGAGAUCAAGCCUGGAACUUUUUAUCACAAAUACAUAAUAUAAUCCUUGAAGAUUGAAGAGGGGGAAUUAUUAUUAUUUUUUGCUCCUAAGUAACAAGAAUUCCAUAAAGUGUAUCAGCCAUCUGUGGAAUAUAUGAAUCAAUAUUCACAAAAAAGACACAGGGUAUACAAUCAUAAAUAGAUUUAUCAAUGACAGCCCCACUUUAGGAGAGCCUAAGAUUGAUAUCCCAUGUAAUGUCAGUUCUUUAAUCUCUAUAUGAUUUGAUGUCAUCACUUACAGCUAAAUUAAUAAACUAACAAUUAGUGACAAUAA